AUGCACCCUGCUCAAAUAACUUGAUGAGAAUUUUUUUUAUUGAAUUCUUCCUGUGAAAAGAUGCCUGCGUCUUGGCAUUCCUGGUUCAUCUGUACUGAGUCAUCUUGUUUAAAUUGUUUAUGGUCAACCGAAUGGAUCCAGUUUUGCUGAUCUGUUCAAUCAAUGGCCAGAUUACAAUUAAGCUAUUGGCAAUCUCUGUUCAUGUCUUCUUUGGCCUGCCCAUCAUCCUGGUAUAUCAUUGAGAUGUCUCUGAUGUAAACUUCGAAAUAAUAGAGAGCCAACAUUAGGCCAGUGGGCUACUGAUUGAGAAAUACAUGCAAUUCUCGCCCAGAAAAAUCUGUUCUACUUUUGUUAAAAGAUUUUGCGUUCUUACAUUUUUCUUUCUAACAAAGAAUUUUUAACCAUAUUUCUCCAGUAUGCAUCAGUAACCAUCUUAAUUCAGAUAUCUUCAGGCCAGAAGCAUACGUUAGAUUGCUCAUUGGUUCUUUUUCUCUUUAUGGCUUCUGUAACUCUGUGGUGUCUAGUUGAACAUAAUAUUGUGCUAGUUUUUCA
RNAcentral lists this unclassified non-coding RNA (552 nucleotides) under Hevea brasiliensis (rubber tree). Lineage: Eukaryota; Viridiplantae; Streptophyta; Magnoliopsida; Malpighiales; Euphorbiaceae. The record is from RNAcentral.